CUGGCACUUUUCACAGGUCCUUCCCCAGGCAGUGGGGCCAGGAUUUGGUAGCUGGUGCUGAGAGAAAACCCUUGAUUGUAUUCUUGCCCUGGGAUUAUACCAGUGGCAACUGUCACUCAGUGGGACAGAG
Nomascus leucogenys (northern white-cheeked gibbon) is the source of this 130-nucleotide small nucleolar RNA. Ensembl annotates it as small nucleolar RNA, H/ACA box 30. Its record names the gene SNORA30. NCBI's taxonomy places the organism in Eukaryota, Metazoa, Chordata, Mammalia, Primates, Hylobatidae. The record is from Ensembl.